GAUGAACGCUAGCGGGAGGCUUAACACAUGCAAGUCGAGGGGCAUCACGAGGUAGCAAUACUUUGGUGGCGACCGGCGCACGGGUGAGUAACACGUAUGCAACCUUCCCUGUACAGGGGGAUAACCCGGAGAAAUUCGGACUAAUACCCCAUGAUGAUAUUUAUGGGCAUCCAUUAAUAUUUAAAGCUCUGGCGGUACAGGAUGGGCAUGCGCGACAUUAGCUAGUUGGUAAGGUAACGGCUUACCAAGGCCACGAUGUUUAGGGGACCUGAGAGGGUUGUCCCCCACACUGGUACUGAGACACGGACCAGACUCCUACGGGAGGCAGCAGCGAGGAAUAUUGGUCAAUGGGCGCAAGCCUGAACCAGCCAUCCCGCGUGAAGGAAGAAUGCGCUACGCGUUGUAAACUUCUUUUCCAGGGGGAGAAUAAUCCUGUCGUGACAGGACUUGACGGUACUCUGGGAAUAAGCAUCGGCUAACUCCGUG
Molecule: ribosomal RNA, 486 nt
Filed under: uncultured bacterium
Lineage: Bacteria
Description: bacterial SSU rRNA
Rfam family: Bacterial small subunit ribosomal RNA
Source: RNAcentral